AAAUGCAACGUUGUUCAGGCGUUAGCAGACAUAUCUCUGUAGCGGCUCUAGGGCACGGCAGUGGAACCGAUAGGAGCAAGUAAAGUUAAAUCUGAUAUACUUUUGAUGUAUUUCUGAGAACUUUUUGAUAUCAAGCUGUUUUGGAAUAUUUUUUUUAUUUCCGAGAGUUUAUUUGGUCUCCGAAAGAAGCUACAAAACCUAUCAACUAACUCUUAACAGGUACUGCAGUUUUUCUCGUGGCCUUUUUUUCGAUUAGGAAAUGUGUUUAGAGAUCAUGGAUACUGAAACCACACAAUUCCCUAAACCUGAGUGUCUGCGACAUGGAUUUACAGCUACGUGGACGCAGUUUUGUGAUCCCAGAGCGGCGAAAUGGGCCUACGAGCAGAACCGAAACAACGCAGCCGCCCGGAAACACCCCAGUCAAGACCAGAGGUUAGCUCAUCGGGCUAAACUCGGCCCGUUUGUUAUGGACUCUGGGAAGAAGAAGAGGAAAAAGGGAAAAAGAGGGUCCAGGAAUGAUGAGCGUGUUGCUGCGGCCUGUAUGAAUCCACCACCAGCCGGGGGGAUGGCGCCUAGAAACACCACGCAGUAUCUAAUGAGUAAUGUGUACGAAGACAUGAAGAUGGACACCGUGAUAAAAUCAGCUCCUGGUCAAUUAACCGGUCACAUCUACUGUGAGAAUCUCUCUCCCAGUAGCGUGUCCGCGGCUCUGGACUCCUGCUUCGAGGACAUUCUGGAAUACCAACUCCGAGACUUUGAGGAGCUCUACGACUUGGCCUGGAAACCGGAAUGAACUGGUUCACAUUCCGCUGUGGAACUGCUCCGACCAGCUGUGCAGACUCAAUGACUGAUCACUAGCAAAUGUGAAAGAAGCGGCGCUUUUGGACGCUGCCCGUCCGGUAGGGGGCGCUGCUGAGCUCUUCGUGGCGGCGUCCAGAGGAAACGACUAAACCGCGUACAUCCUCAGUUCUCAUCCGGUCCGCGGAUUGAAAAAUCCAGGUAAACCGGGGAAGUGUGUACUAUUUGUUGCACUGCAUUGUGAUGCAGUGCUCCCCACAGUCACUGUUGUCUGAGCGUUUUCCAGGUCUCCAUUGGCAGAACACGUGACUCGGCUGGGCGAGAAGCACACGGAAGUCCGUUUUCACGUGACUGACAGACACAUGGUGACGUUUACUGCCACUUCAUCCUGACCUGUUGCGGAGAAUAAAAUUUAUAUGUGGUAAUUCUGUUAAAGAGAAUAUUUAAUAAAUGCUUUAUAAUUUGUA
Molecule: long non-coding RNA, 1265 nt
Organism: Xiphophorus maculatus (southern platyfish)
Lineage: Eukaryota; Metazoa; Chordata; Actinopteri; Cyprinodontiformes; Poeciliidae
Exons: 2
Source: RefSeq, a predicted model, not a curated record